UACUUACAGAUACAUAUUACCUCACCA
Molecule: non-coding RNA, 27 nt
Filed under: Rattus norvegicus (Norway rat)
Lineage: Eukaryota; Metazoa; Chordata; Mammalia; Rodentia; Muridae
Source: RNAcentral